ACUCCCACGCCCACUACGCUACAUUCCCACGCCCACUACGCUACAUUCCCACGCCCACUACGCUACAUUCCC
Molecule: non-coding RNA, 72 nt
Organism: Pangasianodon gigas (Mekong giant catfish)
Lineage: Eukaryota; Metazoa; Chordata; Actinopteri; Siluriformes; Pangasiidae
Source: the annotation of a GenBank genome assembly